Molecule: ribosomal RNA, 506 nt
Filed under: uncultured bacterium
Lineage: Bacteria
Description: partial 16S ribosomal RNA
Rfam family: Bacterial small subunit ribosomal RNA
Source: RNAcentral
GACGAACGCUGGCGGCGUGCCUAAUACAUGCAAGUAGAACGCACAGUUUAUACCGUAGCUUGCUACACCAUAGACUGUGAGUUGCGAACGGGUGAGUAACGCGUAGGUAACCUGCCUGGUAGCGGGGGAUAACUAUUGGAAACGAUAGCUAAUACCGCAUAAUAUUGAUUAUUGCAUGAUAAUUGAUUGAAAGAUGCUAUUGCAUCACUACCAGAUGGACCUGCGUUGUAUUAGCUAGUAGGUGAGGUAACGGCUCACCUAGGCGACGAUACAUAGCCGACCUGAGAGGGUGAUCGGCCACACUGGGACUGAGACACGGCCCAGACUCCUACGGGAGGCAGCAGUAGGGAAUCUUCGGCAAUGGACGAAAGUCUGACCGAGCAACGCCGCGUGAGUGAAGAAGGUUUUCGGAUCGUAAAGCUCUGUUGUAAGAGAAGAACGGGUGUGAGAGUGGAAAGUUCACACUGUGACGGUAUCUUACCAGAAAGGGACGGCUAACUACGUGC